UACCUACGGGGGGCAGCAGUAGGGAAUUUUCGUCAAUGGGCGCAAGCCUGAACCAGCCAAGCCGCGUGAAGGACGAAGGUGCCAAGCAUUGUAAACUUCUUUUGUCAAGGGACAAAAUCAGGCUCGAGAGCCUGACCGAGGGUACUUGAAGAAAAAGCAUCGGCUAACUCCGUGCCAGCAGCCGCGGUAAUACGGAGGAUGCGAGCGUUAUCCGGAUUUAUUGGGUUUAAAGGGUGCGUAGGCGGGCUGUUAAGUCAGCGGUAAAAUCCCGGGGCUCAACCCCGGCGAGCCGUUGAAACUGGCUG
RNAcentral lists this ribosomal RNA (305 nucleotides) under uncultured bacterium. Its description in RNAcentral is "bacterial SSU rRNA". It matches the Rfam family "Bacterial small subunit ribosomal RNA", at positions 335 to 639 of the family's 1533-position model. The record is from RNAcentral.